Long non-coding RNA from Mytilus trossulus (common blue mussel), 961 nucleotides. RefSeq lists it as uncharacterized. Lineage: Eukaryota; Metazoa; Mollusca; Bivalvia; Mytilida; Mytilidae. The transcript has 4 exons. The record is from RefSeq and is a predicted model, not a curated record.
AUGUCAUUCAAAUGUAUCAUGUUACACAGGUAAUACUGGUCGUUAUUGAAGUAAAACAAAAUCUAUUAAAUGAAGUCAUAGCAUGUUGGAUUUAAACCUUUGCAGAGAAUUUCCCAACUUGUGAAAUAAUCUCACAACAUCAGAAGACAAAGUUUGGCGACUUUUAUAAACCGGUAAAUUCGAUGGACUGUUAGAAAAAAAGCAAUAUAUCAAGAUCAAAAUUAUCAACUGCACAUGCAAUCUGUAUAAUAUAACGGCACUAUCAAAUGUGGAUUAAUUUUGCUGAAAAACAAAUAAAAAAGGAGAAUUUCUCAACUUGUGGAAUAAUAUCUAAACAGAAGAACAAAAACUUUCGGCGACUUUUACAAGCCUUGUAUCAACAUCACUGCUGGUGAUCCGAUGGAAAACAAAAUUGGUGUCGAGUCGUCACUGGUUCAGACGUACUUAUAAUAUAAUUAUUUCUGUGACUGCAUCUUACAUUAAUUUGUAGGAUCCUUUACAAAAGAUAAUUCAGCUGAUUGAUCUGUAACAAUUCUAUCUUCAUGCCUAAUACAUCAUGUACUGUGUUACGACGCUAGAUAAAAAUUGUCAAGGAAAGGUAACACACGACCACCGAAACUUUUAUAGAGCCUAGGUGUUUGAGUGGUCUAGCGCGUCGGGCAUAGUGCAAGGCGAUUUGGUGCCACGAUAUCUCAAUAGCAUGAGUUUGAAUCCCGGGCAUAGUGCAAGGCUUCCGCAAAUUUACAGAUCUAGAUAUAUAUAACAUUGUUGGGCUGUUGUUUAGACGAAUUCUAUAAUAUAUAUCAUAUAUAAAUGUGCUUUAUCUAAAUAAAAAAAAUAUGGAUCCUUAAUAUCGUGCUUAAAUGCUUAAAACAAACUGAAAAAAAAAAGAAUUGAAUACCCAAAAUGGGAGAUUAGAAUUUGUCAUCGUUAAAACAAAAGAUUAGUUGGAAGUAUAAAA